GCUGCAGCAGCAGCAGCAGCAGCAACAACAACAACAGCAGCAGCAGCAGCAGCAGCAGCA
Molecule: microRNA precursor, 60 nt
Filed under: Chlorocebus sabaeus (green monkey)
Lineage: Eukaryota; Metazoa; Chordata; Mammalia; Primates; Cercopithecidae
Description: miRNA (ENSCSAG00000023177.1)
Source: RNAcentral